RNAcentral lists this ribosomal RNA (376 nucleotides) under uncultured cyanobacterium. RNAcentral describes it as "bacterial SSU rRNA". It matches the Rfam family "Bacterial small subunit ribosomal RNA", at positions 44 to 452 of the family's 1533-position model. Lineage: Bacteria; Bacillati; Cyanobacteriota. The record is from RNAcentral.
GUGCUUAACACAUGCAAGUCGAACGAACCUUCGGGUUAGUGGCGGACGGGUGAGUAACGCGUGGGAAUCUGCCCUCAGAGGGGGAUAACGGCCGGAAACGGCCGCUAAUACCCCAUAUGCCGAGAGGUGAAAUGAAUUUCGCCUGAGGAUGAGCCCGCGUCUGAUUAGCUAGUUGGUGAGGUAAGAGCUCACCAAGGCAUCGAUCAGUAGCUGGUCUGAGAGGAUGAUCAGCCACACUGGGACUGAGACACGGCCCAGACUCCUACGGGAGGCAGCAGUGGGGAAUUUUCCGCAAUGGGCGAAAGCCUGACGGAGCAACGCCGCGUGAGGGAUGAAGGCCUCUGGGCUGUAAACCUCUUUUAUCAAGGAAGAAGAU